Long non-coding RNA from Xiphophorus hellerii (green swordtail), 814 nucleotides. RefSeq lists it as uncharacterized. Lineage: Eukaryota; Metazoa; Chordata; Actinopteri; Cyprinodontiformes; Poeciliidae. The transcript has 2 exons. The record is from RefSeq and is a predicted model, not a curated record.
GUGACAGUGACGUCAGCUGAUCGCACGGCACGUGGUUAGUGAACGCCGCAGCUUCAAAAAUAAAGUCAAAGGCAUCAGUUCAAACCCACAGGAAAAAGAUGCGUACCCAGGGUUAAUCCAUCAGCCAAUCUGCACCAGAUUUUUUGUGCGUCGCCGAGGAGCGCUGCCAAAUGCAUCGGUACGUAUCGUCUGGCAGACGGGCGUGGGAACUGCGGGAGAGCGUCUGCGGUGGCUGGCUGGCGGCGGUGCCGGAACCCCGGCGGUUGGAGCGGCGCUGAGCUCUGAGGGCCGUCCGACGCCGUUUGCGGCUUUAAUUCUUAUUGUUGAAAUAAAAUUUACUAUUGGCUGAAUUUGGGGUUUUCAAGAAGUCUAAGCUAAGCCAUCAGUUGGACUGCCAUGUUUGAUCUCACUUCUAAACAUCCAACAAUGUUUUUUUUUUUUUUCAACUUUUCAAGAAAUUUAGGAUGAUUGCACAAGUUUGGGAAACACUCUAGGUUAAUUUAUUACAGAAACAUUCACAAGACAUCCACAGUCAGUGCAGACGUGUGAACCUUUUGGCAGUUUUAAACAUAGUACCACAAUGUAAUAAAAAACAAGCCACAUAAAACAAAUUCAUUUAAGCAUAAAACAUACAAAAACAUAAAAAAGAAACUGUUAUUACAAAUUGCAUUGGUCCUGCAUUUUAAAAAAACAAACUUAAGAUCUUAAUUGUAUUGAACACUUGGUCAUUUUUGUUUGCAGUUUACUCACGAAAGCAUUGAAAAUGAAGAUUUCGGAGAUCGUUUUAGAAGAAAAAAAAAAAGAGUUUCUCAAA